AUGUCGGGGCGCGGCAAGGGCGGCAAAGGGCUGGGCAAGGGCGGCGCCAAGCGGCACCGGAAGGUGCUCCGCGACAACAUCCAGGGCAUCACCAAGCCGGCGAUCCGGAGGCUGGCCAGGAGGGGCGGCGUGAAGCGCAUCUCGGGGCUCAUCUACGAGGAGACCCGCGGCGUGCUCAAGAUCUUCCUCGAGAACGUCAUCCGCGACGCCGUCACCUACACCGAGCACGCCCGCCGCAAGACCGUCACCGCCAUGGACGUCGUCUACGCGCUCAAGCGCCAGGGCCGCACCCUCUACGGCUUCGGCGGCUAG
Molecule: ribosomal RNA, 312 nt
Filed under: Triticum aestivum (bread wheat)
Lineage: Eukaryota; Viridiplantae; Streptophyta; Magnoliopsida; Poales; Poaceae
Description: partial small subunit ribosomal RNA
Source: RNAcentral